RNAcentral lists this ribosomal RNA (389 nucleotides) under Kapelodinium sp. RNAcentral's name for it is "partial small subunit ribosomal RNA". It matches the Rfam family "Eukaryotic small subunit ribosomal RNA", at positions 582 to 975 of the family's 1831-position model. The record is from RNAcentral. Lineage: Eukaryota; Dinophyceae; Torodiniales; Kapelodiniaceae.
AUUCCAGCUCCAAUAGCGUAUAUUAAAGUUGUUGCGGUUAAAAAGCUCGUAGUUGGAUUUCUGCCGAGGACGACCGGUCCGCCCUCUGGGUGAGUAUCUGGCUCGGCCUGGGCAUCUUCUUGGAGAACGUAACUGCACUUGACUGUGUGGUGCGGUAUCCAGGACUUUUACUUUGAGGAAAUUAGAGUGUUUCAAGCAGGCACACGCCUUGAAUACAUUAGCAUGGAAUAAUAAUAUAGGACCUCGGUUCUAUUUUGUUGGUUUCUAGAGCUGAGGUAAUGAUUAAUAGGGAUAGUUGGGGGCGCUAGUAUAGCAGGGCCAGAGGUGAAAUUCUCGGAUUCUUGCUAGACUAACUUAUGCGAAAGCAUUCACCAAGGAUGUCUUCAUUA